This 200-nucleotide ribosomal RNA is filed under the name uncultured bacterium. RNAcentral describes it as "partial 16S ribosomal RNA". It matches the Rfam family "Bacterial small subunit ribosomal RNA", at positions 328 to 538 of the family's 1533-position model. The record is from RNAcentral.
ACGCUCGACACCUACGGGAGCCAGCAGUGGGGAAUAUUGCACAAUGGAGGAAACUCUGAUGCAGCGAUGCCGCGUGAGGGAAGAAGGUUUUCGGAUUGUAAACCUCUGUCUUUGGGGACGAUAAUGACGGUACCCAAGGAGGAAGCUCCGGCUAACUACGUGCCAACAGCCGCGGUAAUCUGAGCGGGCGUGGCGAAGGC